GUAUUACCUUGCACAGAUCGGUCUGGCCAUGUCACCUCUAAGCAAUAACUCCUUAUUUCUAGAUUAUCAUCGGAAUCCUUUUCCAAUGUUUUUCCUACGGGGCCUCAAUGUUUCUCUCUGAACGGAUGAUCCUUUACAAAUCCACUUGACUAAAGAACCUCUUGUUGAAGAAUAUAGUAUAGCAGCUUCAGUUUGGAAGCUAAGCUCAUGUGAUCUUUGUGAAAUUGCCCGGAAUUCAGUUUUACAGUCAGGAUUUUCACAUGCUCUCAAGUCUCAUUGGAUCGGAAAGAUGUAUUACAAGAGAGGUCCAGAUGGGAAUGAUAUUCAUAAGACAAAUGUGCCUCAUAUCCGAAUUGAAUUCCGUGACACAAUAUGGAGAGAAGAGAUGCAGCAAGUUUUUUUGGGCAAAGCUAAUAUCCCUGAAGAAGUGGACAUGUGAGGUGCAAGGUGCAUGAUGUACUUAUCUAUUCUUGAUUAUCAGCAAUCUGUUCCAUGAAGGCAAAAGACCCACAAUUUCAUCUAACAUUUGAAAUUGCAGCUCUGUGGGGAUCUUUUACCCAAGAGUUUCGAGCUGAAAAUUUGGUUCACACAGGCAAAAGGGAAAGCCAAGAGGUGUGAAGUGGUUGAAGCAUACCCAAUAAUUGUAAGAUAAAGAGGUCUCUUGUACACAAAAGAGACAGUUGAUGAGUUAUCAUUACAUAUACUGGGAGAAGAAUGUUCUCGCAGCCAGUGUAGUUUGACCCUUUUAAUCUGAAGGGUGUAUUUACGAAAUAUAAUUGCCUCCAUUGAAUUUUCUAGUGAAGCUCGUCUUCAAAAACCGUAGUAAUUAAUAUGUGCUCUCUACAUGGUGGCUGA
This is a long non-coding RNA of Magnolia sinica, 855 nucleotides long. RefSeq lists it as uncharacterized. The record is from RefSeq and is a predicted model, not a curated record. Lineage: Eukaryota; Viridiplantae; Streptophyta; Magnoliopsida; Magnoliales; Magnoliaceae. The transcript has 6 exons.